UCUCUUCGGAGCAGAGGUGACAGGUGGUGCAUGGUUGUCGUCAGCUCGUGUCGUGAGAUGUUGGGUUAAGUCCCGCAACGAGCGCAACCCYUAUUUUUAGUUGCCAGCAYUUUGGRUGGGCACUCUAGAGAGACUGCCGGGGAUAACUCGGAGGAAGGUGGGGAUGACGUCAAAUCAUCAUGCCCCUUAUGUUUUGGGCUACACACGUGCUACAAUGGMUGGUACAGAGAGCAGCNAANAGRGUGAYCUGGAGCAAAUCUUYAAAGCCAKUCUCAGUUCGGAUUGUAGGCUGCAACUCGCCUACAUGAAGUUGGAGUUGCUAGUAAUCGCARAUCAGAAUGYUGCGGUGAAUGCGUUCCCGGGUCUUGUANCACAC
This 376-nucleotide ribosomal RNA is filed under the name uncultured bacterium. RNAcentral describes it as "partial 16S ribosomal RNA". It matches the Rfam family "Bacterial small subunit ribosomal RNA", at positions 1014 to 1385 of the family's 1533-position model. The record is from RNAcentral.